UGGGGAAUUUUGGACAAUGGGCGCAAGCCUGAUCCAGCAAUGCCGCGUGAGUGAAGAAGGCCUUCGGGUUGUAAAGCUCUUUUGUCAGGGAAGAAACGGUGAGGGCUAAUAUCCCUUGCUAAUGACGGUACCUGAAGAAUAAGCACCGGCUAACUACGUGCCAGCAGCCGCGGUAAUACGUAGGGUGCAAGCGUUAAUCGGAAUUACUGGGCGUAAAGCGUGCGCAGGCGGUUUUGUAAGUCUGAUGUGAAAUCCCCGGGCUCAACCUGGGAACUGCAUUUGAAACUGGCAGGCUUGAGUCUUGUAGAGGGGGGUAGAAUUCCAGGUGUAGCGGUGAAGUGCGUAGAGAUCUGGAGGAAUACCGGUGGCGAAGGCGGCCCCCUGGACAAAGACUGACGCUCAGGUGCGAAAGCGUGGGGAGCAAACA
Molecule: ribosomal RNA, 427 nt
Filed under: uncultured bacterium
Lineage: Bacteria
Description: bacterial SSU rRNA
Rfam family: Bacterial small subunit ribosomal RNA
Source: RNAcentral